GACGAACGCUGGCGGCGUGCCUAAUACAUGCAAGUAGAACGCUGAAGGAGGAGCUUGCUUCUCUGGAUGAGUUGCGAACGGGUGAGUAACGCGUAGGUAACCUGCCUGGUAGCGGGGGAUAACUAUUGGAAACGAUAGCUAAUACCGCAUAAGAGUAGAUGUUGCAUGACAUUUGCUUAAAAGGUGCAAUUGCAUCACUACCAGAUGGACCUGCGUUGUAUUAGCUAGUUGGUGGGGUAACGGCUUACCAAGGCGACGAUACAUAGCCGACCUGAGAGGGUGAUCGGCCACACUGGGACUGAGACACGGCCCAGACUCCUACGGGAGGCAGCAGUAGGGAAUCUUCGGCAAUGGACGGAAGUCUGACCGAGCAACGCCGCGUGAGUGAAGAAGGUUUUCGGAUCGUAAAGCUCGGUUGUAAGAGAAGAACGAGUGUGAGAGUGGAAAGUUCACACUGUGACGGUAGCUGACCAGAAAGGGACGGCUAACUACGUG
RNAcentral lists this ribosomal RNA (495 nucleotides) under uncultured bacterium. RNAcentral's name for it is "partial 16S ribosomal RNA". It matches the Rfam family "Bacterial small subunit ribosomal RNA", at positions 28 to 507 of the family's 1533-position model. The record is from RNAcentral.